Molecule: transfer RNA, 73 nt
Filed under: Friedmanniomyces endolithicus
Lineage: Eukaryota; Fungi; Ascomycota; Dothideomycetes; Mycosphaerellales; Teratosphaeriaceae
Description: tRNA-Val
Rfam family: tRNA
About the family: Transfer RNA (tRNA) molecules are approximately 80 nucleotides in length. Their secondary structure includes four short double-helical elements and three loops (D, anti-codon, and T loops).
Source: RNAcentral
GGGCGGCUAGCUCAGCUGGAAGAGCAUCUCGUUUACACCGAGAGGGUCGGCGGUUCGAGCCCGUCGCCGCCUA